Mesocricetus auratus (golden hamster) is the source of this 136-nucleotide small nucleolar RNA. The record is from Ensembl. Lineage: Eukaryota; Metazoa; Chordata; Mammalia; Rodentia; Cricetidae.
UUCAUCUCUGUAUUUUCCUAAAACCAUAAUGUUAUUGCUGUCAUUGAAAAGUAUAGAAGAGGUGCAAAAAUAAAUCCUCUUUUGCAACCCAGAACUCAUUGUUGUAUGAGUUUUGAUACAUGUAAGAAGGAAUAUU